UACUUUACUCCGUAAGUCAACGUUUCAGCUCCUCUUGGGAGCUUUCAUCAUGCUGUCCUGAUGAAAGCUCCCAAGAGGAGCUGAAACGUUGACUUACGGAGUAAAG
Pelobates cultripes (western spadefoot toad) is the source of this 106-nucleotide non-coding RNA. NCBI's taxonomy places the organism in Eukaryota, Metazoa, Chordata, Amphibia, Anura, Pelobatidae. The record is from the annotation of a GenBank genome assembly.